UACGGAGGAUCCGAGCGUUAUCCGGAUUUAUUGGGUUUAAAGGGUGCGUAGGCGGGCUUAUAAGUCAGCGGUGAAAGUUUGCGGCUCAACCGUAAAAUUGCCGUUGAUACUGUGAGUCUUGAGUGUAGAUGAGGUGGGUGGAAUUCGUGGUGUAGCGGUGAAAUGCAUAGAUAUCACGAAGAACUCCAAUUGCGUAGGCAGCUCACUGGGCUACAACUGACGCUGAGGCACGAAGGUGCGGGGAUCAAACAGG
Molecule: ribosomal RNA, 253 nt
Filed under: uncultured bacterium
Lineage: Bacteria
Description: partial 16S ribosomal RNA
Rfam family: Bacterial small subunit ribosomal RNA
Source: RNAcentral